AGUGAACGCUGGCGGCAGGCCUAACACAUGCAAGUCGAGCGGCAGCGGGUCCUUCGGGAUGCCGGCGAGCGGCGGACGGGUGAGGAAUGCAUCGGAAUCUGCCCUGUCGUGGGGGAUAACCUAGGGAAACUUAGGCUAAUACCGCAUACGACCCACGGGUGAAAGCGGGGGAUCGCAAGACCUCGCGCGAUAGGAUGAGCCGAUGUCCGAUUAGCUAGUUGGCGGGGUAAAGGCCCACCAAGGCGACGAUCGGUAGCUGGUCUGAGAGGAUGAUCAGCCACACUGGGACUGAGACACGGCCCAGACUCCUACGGGAGGCAGCAGUGGGGAAUAUUGGACAAUGGGCGCAAGCCUGAUCCAGCCAUGCCGCGUGGGUGAAGAAGGCCUUCGGGUUGUAAAGCCCUUUUGUCCGGGAAGAAAUCGUCUGGGCUAAUACCCCGGGCGGAGGACGGUACCGGAAGAAUAAGCACCGGCUAACUUCGU
RNAcentral lists this ribosomal RNA (483 nucleotides) under uncultured bacterium. Its description in RNAcentral is "partial 16S ribosomal RNA". It matches the Rfam family "Bacterial small subunit ribosomal RNA", at positions 30 to 506 of the family's 1533-position model. The record is from RNAcentral.